GGGCAGCGCUAGAUCCUGAUAGGAAAAUUGAUCCAAAAAAACAAGACAUCGCACAACAACCAGUAGCGAAACACUGGCGUGAAGCACGACACGAUCCAUCUGCGUUCAAAUGCAUGCCAAUAGAUCACAUAAAGAAACCCCCAAGAGGUGGAGAUAUAGAUAAAAUGCUGUUAAAACGGGAGGCAUUUUGGAUCUAUGAACUUGAUUGUGUUGUCCCUAAGGGCCUAAAUGGGCAGUUACAACUUAAUUGUUUUUUGACUUGAAACUAAACUGAUUAUGAUGUUGAUACUAAUUGUGUCUCUUAAACCAUACAGGAAUGUGCCAAAAUAAGGUGUGAAAAUGUCUCAGCCCUAUGGUGAUAUUGUGCGCAUGGCAGUUCUGUAAACUAACAGAGGAAUGGGAUUUCACCGAUGUGCAUCGUUCGCCCUCCAGCAUUUACCUGAAGCAGCUUGCAGAAUACAGGCGAUAAAUCCACUCGCAAAAGUACAGAUGUGCCUUGAAGUAACAAAGGGAUUUGACGCAUCCACUGUGUAUAUAAUAUAUAUUUAUACUAUAUUAAGGUAUUAUGAAUGCACUAGGGAUCUAUAGUAGAAUGCAAUAUUGAAUUUAACAUAACAAAACAAAUACCAAGUAUGAUGGAUGGAGGCACAGAG
This is a long non-coding RNA of Xenopus laevis (African clawed frog), 653 nucleotides long. RefSeq lists it as uncharacterized. The transcript has 3 exons. NCBI's taxonomy places the organism in Eukaryota, Metazoa, Chordata, Amphibia, Anura, Pipidae. The record is from RefSeq and is a predicted model, not a curated record.